RNAcentral lists this ribosomal RNA (516 nucleotides) under uncultured bacterium. RNAcentral's name for it is "bacterial SSU rRNA". It matches the Rfam family "Bacterial small subunit ribosomal RNA", at positions 8 to 521 of the family's 1533-position model. The record is from RNAcentral.
AGAGUUUGAUCCUGGCUCAGAUUGAACGCUGGCGGUAUGCUUUACACAUGCAAGUCGAACGGAUUUGGGGGCUUGCUCCCAAGUUAGUGGCGAACGGGUGAGUAAUAUAUCGGAACAUAUCCGGAAGUGGGGGAUAACGUAGCGAAAGUUACGCUAAUACCGCAUAUGCCCUGAGGGGGAAAGGGGGGGAUCGCAAGACCUCUCGCUUUCGGAGUGGCCGAUAUCGGAUUAGCUAGAUGGUGAGGUAAUGGCUCACCAUGGCGACGAUCCGUAGCUGGUCUGAGAGGACGACCAGCCACACUGGAACUGAGACACGGUCCAGACUCCUACGGGAGGCAGCAGUGGGGAAUUUUGGACAAUGGGCGAAAGCCUGAUCCAGCCAUACCGCGUGAGUGAAGAAGGCCUUCGGGUUGUAAAGCUCUUUCAGCCGGAAAGAAAUCGCAUUCCUUAAUACGGGGUGUGGAUGACGGUACCGGAAGAAGAAGCACCGGCUAACUACGUGCCAGCCGCCGCGGU